This 15852-nucleotide long non-coding RNA is filed under the name Populus tremula. Its description in RNAcentral is "long non-coding RNA (PTRE_LNC003285)". Lineage: Eukaryota; Viridiplantae; Streptophyta; Magnoliopsida; Malpighiales; Salicaceae. The record is from RNAcentral.
UCUCUUUUCCUAUCAAUAUCGAAACUCCCUUCAGGAGUAGCGAAAAUGAGAAGCAAUAUUCUACUUACCAUUAUCUUAGCCAUAGUUCUUGCAGGAGCCCUGCCCAAGAAUGUGGUAGAGGCUCAGAAUUGUGGCUGUGCUGCAAACCUUUGUUGCAGUCAAUAUGGCUAUUGUGGCACUGGCAAUGCCUAUUGUGGUCAGGGAUGUAAACAAGGGCCCUGUGCUUCAUCACCUACGCCUACUACCCCUAGUGGGAGUGGUUCUGUUGCUGAUAUUGUUACGCCUGCUUUCUUCAAUGGUAUAAUCAACCAAGCUGGUGCAGGCUGUGCUGGGAAGAAUUUCUAUACAAGAAAUGCAUUUCUCAGUGCUGUCAAUUCAUAUCCUCAAUUUGGUAAACUUGGUUCAGCUGAAGCUUCUAAGCGUGAGAUCGCAGCUUUCUUCGCUCAUGUUACUCAUGAGACUGGACGUAAGUUCCUCUUCCAUCCCUCAUAACAUUUCUCGCAGCAUUUGAAUAGCAAGCAUGAUAGCCAACAGUAUUCUGUCUGUCUGUCUACCCUGUCUUUUCCACGAAUACAAUUGUCCGCAUAUGGAUUUUGUCAACAAUGUGAACUGUCUAAUAAGCGUGUUUCAGCUCCUCGUGUGUAAGCUGACAAGAGAAAAUGUCUAUUUUUGCAGACUUCUGCUAUACAGAAGAGAUAAAUGGUGCUUCCCGUGACUACUGUGAUGAAAAAAACAGGGGAAUACCCAUGUGUUGCAGGCAAGAAAUACCAUGGCCGCGGACCAAUCCAACUAUCAUGGAACUACAACUAUGGGCCAGCCGGAAGGAGCAACAACUUUGAUGGAUUGAACAAUCCUGACAUUGUAGCAAGGGAUGCUGUUGUGUCAUUUAAGACAGCCUUAUGGUUUUGGAUGAAAAGUGUUCGUCCUGUUGUAAACCAAGGUUUUGGAGCAACUAUUCGAGCCAUUAAUGGUAAUGAAUGCAAUGGUGGAAACUCAGGUGCCGUUCAGGCUCGUGUUAGAUAUUAUAGAGAUUAUUGCAGUCAACUCGGCGUUGCUACUGAGAAUAACCUCGCUUGCUAGGUUUUAAAAUAACCGGAGUUGUUAUGCCAAGUUAUGGCUAAUCAUAUGAAAAUAAGAUGUACUGCUAUGAAACAAGUUGAAGAGAAAUAAAGUUUAUAAUUAUCGUUAUGUCUCUUAUAGUUUUUCAGUAAUUUUGAUGUCCCUUUUUAUAUUUAUUUUUAUUACUUAGAAAAACCUCCACUUUACGUGGCCAUAAAUUUGUUUUGAAAUUCAAUUUACGCCUUGUAUUUUAUUUUCGAUCAAUUUAAUCCAAUUUGACCAAAAGAUUGGAUCCAUCGAACCCAAUAUAUUAGCAAUUUGAAAUUGAAAUCACUAUAUGUGUACAUAUUCAUUUAUUCUUCCAUUUCCGUAAUAAAUUUUCAAAUUUAUGUUAAUAUCAGUAGUAGGAUCUACUCUAAUUAAUAACUUCUUGAGUAAAACAAAAACCAAAGGAAAAAAAAUUAUUUUUAAAUAACUCUUUUUUCCCAGGAAUUAUUUGUCCUCAUUUUAAUAAAUCUUGAUUUUUACAUAUUGCUUAUGCUAGAGACUAGAUAGAGACGAGAAGGGUAUGCGUUUUUUUCCGUCCCAGUUAUACAAGCAUAUUGUUACAAUGAUCUCAAUAAUUUGAACUCUAUAGAAAUUGUUGUUUUAUUUUAAAAAAAUUUAAAUAAAUAAAAAAAUUUCUUCAAAAAAUUUGAAAAUCACUUAGUUUGGAAAUUAAAAAUUUCAUGAAUAUCACCUUUUUUUUGUUUUAUGUUUUUGAAAAUGAAAGGUUGUGUUGCGUUGCCUGUUAUGUUUAAAUACAUGAUAAGCUUAUUUUUUAUUUUUUAAAUUUGGUUGAUUGAUACCGAAAUUAACAAAAGUGUUGGUCAUUGUCCAUCUAUAAUUGCCUUGAAUUGUAAAUAGUAUGUUUGAGAUUGUAGUGAAAAGUUCUUUUUCUUUAAAAUUAUAUCAAGAUAAUAUAUAUAUUUUUUAUAUCAAUACAAAAUAAAAAAAUAAAAAAAUAUUAAUUUAGUGUUUCACGUAAGGACACUAAAAAUCAUGUUGAGCCGACGUUGAACAUCAUCAAUAUUAAUGGAGAGACUUUUCAAAGAAGAUGUCAAGUCCAUUUCUUACAUGAUAGCAAUUGUGGAUUGGGGUCCAUGUCCAUGGACAACAUCGCAUUGAUCUUGAUGUUAAUGAAACAAGUUUGAAAUACAGUGGCAAAAAAUCGAUUUGCCAGACAAAAAAAUGAAAAAUGAAAAAUUAGGCAACUUCCAGUUAUUUCCUUUUGCUUCCCAAUUAUCAUAUUGUUUGGCGGUGCUAGGCCAUGUGAUUGGCUCACUUGACCGACAGCACUAUACGUUGCUACCCAUUUCUUAUCCAGCUAGCUAGAUGCGGAAGAAACGUUGGGGUCUAUUUUAAUAUAUUUUUUUAAAAAAAAUACUUUAAAAAAUAAUCAUAUUGCAUUUCUAAUGAGCUAAUCACCAAGAGAAAAAAAAAGUGUUGCGUGUUAAAAAACCAAUUCAGCCUAAUAACUUAAAUUAUUAUGUUAGAUUUUAAGAUAUGAUUUAUAUUAUUUUAUAAUAUAUUAUUUCAAGUGAAAGUCCUUUGGCUUGUACAGAUUCAUAUUACUUUGUGCUUAAUUUUUUUCAAAUAAAUGAGGAUGAUAAGAUUUGAACUUGUGACCGCUUAAUCAUCAAGAGUUUAAUACCAUGUUAAAAAACUAUUUUAAUCCAAUAGCAUAAACUACUAAAUAAGGUUUUAAAAUAUAAUUUAUAUUUUAUUUUUUAAUAUUAAACUAUUAAAUUAUGAUAUUCUUUAAAACUGUGAGGUAGAAAUUGAGUUGAGUUGAGAAGAGUGUUUCUCCUCCUCUUGUAAUAUGAACGGCAUCUCUAAUUAAUAAAACAGAUAUUGUAUGCCAAUUAGUCAAUAACAUGCGUCGAUUCUGGGCAUCCAUUUUUAUCCUAACAGUUAGCUACAAAAACUAGAAAAAAGAAAAAAAAAAGAGCACUAGAAGACGGCUUCAAUUUUAUUUUUUCCUAACCUUUCAUUUAUGGUGAAAGGUUUUCUCUAUCUUAAAAAUAUAUAGGAAGGGGACGUAGAUUUUGGGUAAGUAGCUAGUCAACGACGGCUAUGCCCAUUCUAUGCCAUUGGGUGCCAGUAACUUCAAAGAGGUACUUCAAACUAUUACCCCUUAGUUUAUGUAUUUUAAAAGUAUAUUUUUUAAAAUUUUAUUUUUUAUUAACUUUAAAUUAAUAUAUUUUUAAUGUUUUAAAAUCAUUUUAAUGUGCUAAUAUCAAAAGUAUUUUUUUUAAAAUAAAAACAAAAUUAUUAAAAUGCAUUUAGACAUAAAAAGUUAUUUAAAGAGCAACCACAACUACACUGCACAAAAUAAAAUAAAUAAUAUAAAAUAAAUAAUAAGAUAUUAUGUUUUCUUUGGUUAGGAGAUAGAGUUGGACAGCCUUUUUCCUCCAAAGUCUGAACUAGCAUGUGGUAAACUAUCAAUUGAAUCUGUGUCUUUAUGUGGACAAGAUUUCUAUUUUCUUGCCUAACUUCUUUCGACUUUUGCUUGAAAUGGUAGUGGUUGCCUGAAAAGUAAUACCCAUAAGCCAGCAAUGGAACAAACAAUUGGUAGGUAUGAUUACCAUCUAUCGUGUGCUGCCUGUAACAGAACAAUACAAAAUUAAAACUUCAUGUUUAAAAAAAAAAAAAACUAACUUUAUGAAUAUCCAAAAGCCUUGAAAUGAUUUAGACAAAAAAUCCACCGUGAGUGAUUGGAUGUUCAAAUAUCUCAUUCGCUGCGACGAGGUCGGAUGUUAGAAAUAUGGGUGAACUCUCCUCCAGUUUUGAAUAGCUUUAGCUUCCUCGGUUUUUCCUAUAUUUGAGAUACGACUCGAAAACAAAAGGGUUGAUAUUAUUUUACAUAUAUACGACAUGUAUUGCAUAUAUAUAUAUAUAUAUAUAUAUAUAUAGAUCCAUGAUAUACAGCGGGUUAAUAAAUUAAUUUUUUCAAAUAUCAAAAAAAUAUAAAAAGUAUAGAAAUUUUUUUAAAUAUUCUUAAAGUAUCCUAAAUAAUUGUUUUGUAAAACAUUAUUUAAACUACCCUUAAAAUAUCAUAAACAAAAAUGCUAAUUAAAUUUUUUAUAUAUUUUAAAAAAAAAAAUUAAAAUUACCCUUGAAGUGUCAUAAAUAAUGUUUUUUUAAUUUUUUUAAAAAAUAUAAAAUACCCUUCAAGUAUCUUAAAUAGAUAUACUAAUUAGUUUUUUUUAUAGAUAUUGUUUAUUAAAAAAAAUAUUUGAACUACCCUUGAAGUAUCCUAUAUCAUUUAUUGUAUAAAUGUUUUCUAUUGUUUAUAAAAAAUACAUUUAAAUUAUCAUUGAAGUAUCAUAAAUAAUUUUUUUAAUAUAUAUUUUUAUUUUUUAUAUAAAAAAAUUAAAUUACCCUUAAAGUAUCCUAAACAAAACACUAAUUAAUUUUUUUUAUAUAAAUAUUUUAUUUUUAAAAAAUAAAUAGGUUUGGCAGCCAUGCCAGACCCAAUAAUCUUGGGUCUCGCAGUAAUACCAAGCCCAGGAUCCUUGGGUCUGGUGGCAAUCCGAGACCCAAGAACGCUGGUUCUGGAGGCUAAACCAUACACAAUAGCUUUAUGUUUGGUGGCCAUGUCAAACCCACUAUGCUUGGGUCAGGUGGUUAUGCCUUGACUCAACACGUUGUAGCAACUUUUAGAAUAAAAAAUGAAAAAGAUAAAAAUGCCAAAAAAAAUUAUUUUUUUCUAGUUUUUAUAUAUAAAAAAUGAAACUAUCCUUAAAGUAUUCUAAACUGAAAUUCUAAUUAAUGUAUUUUAAAAUUUUAUUACUAUUUUUAUUAAAAACAUAAACUACCCUUGAAUUAUUAUAAAGAAAAACGCAAAUUAAUUUUAUUUAUAGUGUUUUUUUUUUGUUUUUAUAUAAAAAAAUAUUAAAACUACCCUUGAAGUAUCUUAAAUAUUUUUUUAAAAAUAUUUUCUAUUUGUUAUAAAACCAUUUAAACUACCCUUGAUGUAUCUAAAUAAAAAUACUAAUUAGUUUUUUUAUAAAUUUUAUUUAUUUUUUUGAAAAAAAAACAUUUGAACUACCAUUGAAGUAUCCUCAAUAAUUUUUUUUUAAUUUCUAUUAUUUUUUAUAAAAACAAACAUUUAAACUACUAUUGAAGUAUCAUAAACAGAAAUGCAAAUUAAUUUUUUUUAUUUUUUAUUUAUAAAAAAUAUUAAAACUACCCUUAAUGUAUCCUAAAUAAAUUUUUAAAAAACGUUUAGUGCACGUUUGUAAUAAAUUGAAUGAUCAUCCAAUGAAUGUAAGUUUUUUAAUAAUGAGUUGUUAAGUUAUAUAUUCAGAUUAUUUGAUUACUCUACAAAUUUUAAUUUUCUUUUUGCAUAUUAAAAGUUCAUAAAGAUUUUAAUACAUCAUUACAAGUUUGUAACUAUAGGUUUGGAGUUGUAAGAAAAGUGUAAUGUUUAUAUCAAUAACAUUAAAUUUAACUUUUAACUUUGAAAUUCAAAAUCCUUUAAAUUGAAUGGAGGUAGGCAUAAAAGAACCCGAAUCACUGGGUCUUCCAAAUCAAAGAUCCAGUUUAUAUAGGUUAUAUUGUCAUUAAAGUGUCCAAAGCACAAACUGUGCUCCACUAGUUUAGUUUUCAAAGCUGCAAAGCUUCAAUCUCAACAUAUAUUUGCACACAAAAUAGUUGCAGGGAUCAGUAAAUCUUGAGAAAAAACAACUAAUUAAUGGGAUAAAAGAAAGAUCCAAUAGUUUUUCGAUACAAACAAUAUAAUUUCAUACUGAUAGGUCUUGUGAGCAAGCUGCAUCUUUCCUUUCCAAGAUGAAAUUCAUGUGAAAUAUUUUUUUCGACAGUCCAACUCUUUCAUUUUUCGGUUUCUGUUCUUUCAAUCUUAACUGAAAAAUUAGACUUAUACCAAUCAACUUCUUCAACUAGGAUGUAAUAUUAGCACUGAAACUAUAUAUAUAUAUAAUUGCAGCUCGAUCACUAUCCUAGUCUUUCUAUUAAAAAUUAUGAGUACUGCAAAUUACAAAACCACUUGUAUAAACUGGCUUUGACCCCUACCAGAACCUUGCUAGGAUAAUAAAAAAGAAUAAACCCAUCACUUUUUAUUUAUUGUCAUGAAUAUGAUAAAACUAAACUAGCUGUUUCUUACUGUUGUAACCCAUUUUCGGGUCCCCACAAAAAUAAAAUAAAAUAAAUAGCCAAAGAAGGUUAGAAAAAUAACAGGAGGUAGAAGCGCUCAGAAAAUGGUCGGAAAAUUGGUCAAGGAGGUAAAAAAAUACAAAGAUUGGAUUUUUGACAGUAUAUUCUUGAAGGAUGAGAGCCCUAUUGAGAAGGAAAAUUUGAAUUUUGAGGAGAAAAGCCCAAGUUUGGAUGUUUAUGGACUUAAUUGGUUUUUUAAAUGAUUUUAUAGGGGAUUUGAUUGCAAGAAAAAUUGAUUUUUAAGUCAAUUUGGGCUUUAAUUGAAAGAAAUUUAAGUUCUGGGGCCAAAAUAUAUUUUUUAGGAAUUUUUUAGGUCAAAUCAGGGGCUUAAUUGCAUAAAUAUUGAAGUUUAAUGGCCAAUUAGAGACUUAAUUAAGAAAAUUCGAAACCAGGGACCAAAUUGGAAGAGGCGCGUAAAUGGAAGGGCUGUAAUUAUUCUGUUCAGGGGCCUAAUUGAAGAAAUUGAAAGUUUAUUAAUCAAUUGAGGGCUCAAUUGCAUAAAUCAGAGGCCAAGGACUAAAGUGAAAAACACGGCCAACAAGAGGGGCGGGGACCGAAUUUGACAGGGAUACAAUUGAAAUGAACAAGAAAUGAUGGAGGGUUGAUUUGAAAUUUGGCUCAUUUAAAUGAAACGGUGCGUUUUUUUCAAAACGACGCCGUUUCAUAUAUAUAUAUAUAUAUAAAAGGAAGACCAGAACGGUGUCGUUUUGAACAAUACUGUUCAUCUUCCUCCUUCCCCCCGAAUCAGCAGUAGCAGGAGACGAAAACCAUUGUUUUCAAACCUUCCCGGCUCUCUCUCCUCGCCCCCACCGAAGCCCCCCACACCUUUAGACCACCGAACGAGUCACUGGCCGACCAGUCGUUGUGUGAUUUGCUCCCCGCACUAGCAAAAGGCGCACUGAUUCUUCCCCUAUAAAUAGAGAGUUAAACCGAAGAGAGAAAGGACCCGAGGAGAGAGGCAUAAGAGAAAUAACGCACGAAGGAGAGGGGAGAGCAGGAACAAAACGAAAACAAAGAAACCGAAACCGAAAACAGAAAACAAACCGAGGAGGAGAAAGCCACUAAGAACGAAAAAACAGGGGAAAGGGGAAGAUGAAGAAAUUUCUCGCCGCCGUUAGGAAUAACAGCAACACCGCCCGGAGCCCCCGUUCGCGAGCCACGCCACCGCAGCACCACCAGUGACCGCCUCCUCCACGCCAAGUACAUUUUCUUCUUCCCCCUUGCUUUCGUUUUCAUUGCAAGCGUUACCUCCUGCAUGCAGGAGGCGGGGGGAAGAAAAAUAAUUCUUCCCCCUGCUGGGCCGUAGGGUGCUGGGCCAGCCCGAUGCUGGCCCAACCUUGCAAGUCUGGGUCGGUCCUGGCCCAGACUGUAGAAGUUUUUUGGGCCGAGAUCGGCCCAAUGUUCAUUUUGGGCCGAGGUCGGGCCGCCUUUUUUGGGCUGCGCCUGGCCCAUUUAUUUGGGCCGGCCCAGCCCCAUAAUAUAAUAUAUUAUAAAUUAUAAUAUAUAUGUGUGUAUAUAUAUAUUAUAUUAAAAAAAUAUAAUAAUAAAAAAAAUCUUUUUUGAAAAAUAUUAUUGAUUUUCCUACAUAUUUUUGUCAAAAUGGCUUAAUGUUGGUUUGUAUUUUUAUACCGUAAAGAUACAAAACCAGUGUGUUAAAAAUACCCGGUUUUCGUCAAAACAUCAAAGAUUUUCAGAAUAAAAAAAAUGUUUUUGCUUUCAAACAAAUUAUAAAAAGUCCCUAAAAAUGUUGUUGAUUUUUUCUGCAUAUUUUUAUUAAAGUGGAUUAAUAUUGGGUUGUAUUUUUAUACCGUAAGGAUACAAACUCAGUAUUAAAAUACCCGAUUUUUGUUAAAGCAUAAAAAAAAAUAUAUUUUUUUUAAAAAUUGUUUUUGUUUUAAAAUACGGCCUAGUCUCUCCAAUAUAUAUAUAUAUAUAUAUAUAUAUAUAUAUAUAUUGGAGAGACUAGGCCGUAUUUUAAAACAAAAACAAUUUUUGGCUUUAAUAAUAAGUUUAUAUAUAUAUUAUAACAUCAUAUUUUCACACAACAAAGGAAAUUUCAAAACAAUAUAUGUAUUAGCAUGCAUUUUGGCUUUAAUAAUAAGUUUAUUCAAGCCAUGAGAACUAGGCCAAUAUUUCAAAAAUUCCAAAAAAAUUAUUGUGUUUUCUUUUAGUAUUUGGGGUUACGAUCUUAUACGUAAGACGUAAUCCGAAUAUUAAAUUCUUUUGUUAACAUCAUAAUUACCCAUUAAGAUAAGGAUCUCCUUACCGAGGAGGACUUUUCUUGAACCAUACCAACAACUAGAAAAACCCGAAAAUACCUUAGAUUUUAUCAGACAAUAAAACAAUGCAGCUUACCUUAGGUAGGGUGUAUUUGGGGUGCUAAUACCUUCCCUUUACGCAACCAGUCCCCGUACCUAAUCUCUGAGACCAGUUAGGGUUCCUAGUGAUCAAAAUACUAGGUGGCGACUCCCAUUCCAUUUUUUCCACCAACAAAAGACAAUAUUUUCUUGUCUCCCCAAUAUAUGCCACAUAGAAAUAGAUUUACACAUUUUUAUUUCUAUUAAAAUGGAAACUUUUAUUUUCGCCGCGACGCCGCACACGUGCGACACUUACGAUGCUAUAUAAAAAGAUUUAAAAUCACCAAGAUUUUGUACUUGGUUUGUAGUAAAAUAGAAUUUUGAUUUGUUUCUUCCUGCAAUCCUCGCAUGAAAAAUAGCAUUAAUGAAAGAAUCUAUGGAAGUAAAAAGGUCACUUUGGCUAUCUUUCAUAUCCAUGUGAUCACUCUAAAAUAAUAGAAGUGUUGGAAAAGCCAUUUAAUGAGUAGCUAAAAGCCCAAAGGAUAUUAUCUUUGUCACACGGGGGGCACGAUGUCAGGGGUGAUGACAAGCUUUUCAUGCCUCCUGAGGAGGUGUCGUUGUUGGGAAAAGAAAUAGGUUUGGGUUUAGUCAUAAGAUUAUAAUUAAAAUUUAGGAGUCGCAAUCUAGUAUUAUAAUAAAUAGAAACCUAUGAUUUGCAAGAGUCCGGGUAAGAGACUAGUUAUGCCAGGGUAUGACACAUCACCCCUAGUGCACUCUACCUAAGAUACAUUGCAUUGUUACUUGAUUGUUUUUCUAUGUCAAGUUAUAUUCGUUGGUCUUUUUUUUUAAGGUUCAAGGUAGAUCUUUCUUCGUAAAUCUCUACCUCAUCGAGUUUAAUUAUAACUAUUCUAAAGAUCAAAUUUUAGCAUUGCAUUUAUUUUACACUUUAUAUCUUUAAUUCUAAAAGAUAUACUCUACUAUGUAGUUUUAUACCACACAGAUGUUAAAGUCUAAAUCUAAACCCUAGGAAAAUGAUUGGUAAAGUGUUUUUAACAAUUUAGUCAAAUUCUAAUGGACAAUCAUAAACUAGUUAUAAUAUCCAAAUUUUUAUUUUUUAAAACAUGAAAAAGAUGCAUUUUGUUUAAUGAAAAUAUGUUUGGGAAACUUUUUAGGAUUUGGAUAUAUGCAUAAAAACAAAAAAUGUAUAUUUUUUAUUUUUUGAAAUGGGAAAUUAAUUUAGAAGUUUUGAAAUUUAUUUUGAUUUUUUUUAAUAUUAUUUAGAAAUAUUUCAGAGAAAAUCAGGUAUGUUAAUACCGGAUUUGUAUCUUAUAAUGUAAAUAUACUACCUAAUAUUAUACAAAAUUGAUAAAAAAACAUUCGAGAAAAUUAAAAUGUUUUUAGAAAGAUGUUUUAUUUUUUUAUAAUAUUAUAUUAUAUUAUAAAUAAAUAGAUAUUAAAUAAAUAUGGAUAGUGCAGCCCAACUAACUAGAUGGAACUUAACCCAAGAAAUAUAAGGUUGAUCCCAACCCACCAAGGGUGUUGGGCCAAUCUUGUUGCAACACUUUUUUUUUACGUUUUUAGUACGGAUUAGAACCAUCCUAAUUAUUUGGGAUGGGCUAGAAAUAGCCUCACUCAAAGUUCAUUGCAUGAAUAGUUGAACAUGAAGUAUACAAUGGGUUAUAAUUCAUACCCAUUGUAUGAUUAGUAGGUUAGUAGGAUGUGAAUUACAAUCUAUGCUCACUGUUUAUGUGAACAGAAAGGGAAGAAAAGGAAAGGGGCUCACUUGGCUCAGGGAUUGCGGAUAUCGUCAAAUGAAAUGCAAUUACAAUUUCAGGAUGUGUUAGCAACAAUUCCACGACGUCGCAUCCAAUGUUUCUCAGACGCAUGAAGCACAAGGCUAAGCUUCUGUCUUCAAGUGGAAGUCUACAGCAUAUUGAAGAUGAAUGUGAGGUGGAAUCCCAAGGCUCACUGGACUCAGGAAUCAGACAAGGGAAUCUUCGUUGUUUAACAUCUUCAAAUUCUGUUGUUGAGGCAGAGGUGCAGGGAACGUUGAAAACUGGGCGGGCAUUGGUUUUGGAUGUUGAGGACUUGCAGGUGCUGGAACAUCCAUUAGAGGCCAGGUGGACAGAAAGCUGGAAGAUUGGAAUGACGACCAAUAAUGCCAUUUUGCAGCUCGACAGUGGAUAUGUAUUACCUUCUUUCUUAAUGAAGAUCUUACUCUGGAAUAGAUGUGGAUUGGGUAUGUCUGCUAAGGGGGUAUCGAUUAGGAAUACUGUUCUGCAUAAUGACAUUAAGGUGUGUUUUCUGCUAGGAACUAAGAGGGCAAUGUGCUGUGACAAUUUUGUUCAUGCAUUAUAGAAUAACUUAUCAGUCAAAUGGUUUCCACUUAAUUCAGUUGAUUAGGCUGGAGGUAUUUUAGCUACGUGGGAUGAAAGUAAGUUCAUGGUUCAUUCAAUUGAAUAUUGGAUUGGCAUAUUGAGAAGCAAUUUACUUGUGCAAUCAUAGGAGUCUAUGCAGGAAUCAUAGUUCAUGUGAGACACCUUUGUUCAUUGUUGGGGACUUCAAUGAAACAUUGCAUCAGUGUAAAAGUAACAGUGGCUAUUUGAAUGGCAUUGGUUCUACGGAUUUCAAAAGAUUCAUAUCCAAUUGCAAUCUUUUGGAGUAUCCCCUCUCUGGUCACCGAUACACAAGAUUUCAUGGCAACUCAAUGAGUAGAACUGAUAGAGCCUUUGCCACUCCAUACUUCCAUUUAACAUUCUCAGGUCUCCUACUCAAUCGGUUUCCACAAGAAUUGUCUGAUCACUGCCCAAUGAUCUUAGGACUGCAAUGCCAAACUUGGAGAUGGAAGCCAUUUCGUUUCCUCAAUUGUUAGGUCUCUAAGCCUAUGUCUAUGGACAAACUUGAGGGUCUUUGCCAGGAGUGUAGUAUUAAGGACAAUGGGAGACUUCACAUGGUUAAAAAGCUUGCCUUUAUGGCUAUGAAAUUCAGAAUAUGGAAUAGAAAGGAAUUUGGCAAUCAGGACUUGAAACUGUUGCAGCUUUAGCGUGACAUCCAGCGACUGGAGAAUAUAGAAGAGGACAAACAGCUUAACCAUGAAGAACUUUCUAUGCUGCAAAUCUUGCGCUCUAAGCCGUCGGAAAUCAACAAGUUUGUGGAAUCAAUCUGCAGUACAAAAUCAAGACAGACCUGGUGCAAGCCUUGGAGAUAACAAUACAAAAUUCUUCCACAUUAUAGCUAAUAUUCGAAGGAGUGGAAAACUCUAUCACUCGUAUCAGAUACAAUGAUAUACUGCAUACCUUUCCCAAGGACAUCAAGGAGGCGGCAAUAUCCUAUUUCUCAAGUCUGUUCACUAAUGAAAUCUCUACAAGAGCUACAAUGGGGUUCAAUAAACUAUCCAUAAUGCAAACUCAACAACUUGAACAAGCGGUAACUAUGGAAGAGGUCAAGCAAAUGAUUUGGAGUUGUGAUGGAACAAAAGCCCCAGGUCUUGACUGCUUCACCUUCAUUUUCUAUAAAAACGCAUGGCAUUUGAUAGGGCCUAACAUUUUUUAUAUGGUGCUUGAAUUUUCUGGACUAAGGAAAUUACCAACAGGAAUUAACAUCUCUCAUAUGGCCUUUGUUCCAAAAUCAAAGCUAUCUACAGAAUUUUCAGAGUAAGGCCAAUAAGUUUAGUGCAUGGCUUGUACAAAAUUAUAGGUAAACUGCUAUCCAACAAAUUGAAAGUCAUUAUGCUUUGUUGUAACACAUUUUCGGGUCCUUACAAAAAUAAAAAUAAAAUAAAUAGCCAAAGAAGGUUAGAAAAAUAACGGAAGGCAGAAGCACUCAGAAAAUGGUCAGAAAAUUAGUCAAGGAGUAUAAAAAUACAAAGAUUGGAUUUUUGACAGUAUAUUCUUGAAGGAUAAGGGCCCUGUUUAGAAGGAAAAUUUAAAUUUUGAGGAGAAAAGCCCAAAUUUGAAUGUUUAUGGACUUAAUUGGUUUUUUAAUUGGAUUUAUAGAGGAUUUGAUUGCAAGGAAAAUUGAUUUUUAAGUCAAUUUGAGCUUUAAUUAGAAGAAAUUUAAGUUCUGGGGCCAAAAUAUAUUUGUUAGGAUUUUAUUGGGUCAAAUCAGGGGCUUAAUUAUAUAAAUAUUAAAGUUUAAUGGCCAAUUAGGGACUUAAUUGAGAAAAUCCGAAACCAGGGAUCAAUUUGGAAAGGCGUGUAAAUAGGGGGGCUGUUUGGGAUUGAUCCGGGGUCAAAUUGAAAGAAAUUGAAAACUGGAGGACUAAUGUCGACUGUUACUGUUCACUUUCUUCCUCAAAAAGCUGUCUGAGUGGCUGCUUUCCAGGCGCAUUUUCCUGCUCGUGUGGCCUCCAAAUCUGACCAAACUUGCACCAAAAUGUCCACAUGAAACCCCUUUAUCCCGGAAAAUGGUCCGGUCAGGUCGGAAAAGUUAGAAAAGACUCCGUUGAGUGGCUCAAAGUGGCCACCUCGGGCAGUUCACACCCUUGAGCUGCCAAAUUUGGCAGCUCGAGGUGCACACUUUGAGCCAACGGUUGAGAUGCUUCCCAACUGAAUCAAGGGCUGCAAUAUUUCCCCAACGUAGACAAGAUUGCCCUCUUCCACGGCCUAUAAAUAGAGUCGGAUUUGAUGAUAUGAAGGGGGAGAAAGUCGGUUCCAAAGUCAGCCAAAAACCAGCAUUUUCACCCAAUUUCUGCAGAUUUUUCUUCUCUUCUUUCUUCCUCUGCAACAGGAACCCGACGCCGUCUUCCUCCAACUCCACAGCUGCAACCACCGUCUGAACCACCUCAUCACAGCAUCCACAACCCCUUCGGCCAAGUGAGCCCCUCUUCCUUUCCUCCUUUUCUUCUUCUUCUUCCUCCUUACCUACUGUUCACUGCAUGAACAGUAGGCGUGAAAUAUAAACUGACAAGAGAAAAUGUCAUAUUUUGCAGACUUCUGCUAUAUAGAAGAGAUAAAUGGUGCUUCCGGUGACUACUGUGAUGAAAACAACAGGGAAUACCCAUGUGUUCCACGCAAGAACUACUAUGGCCGCGGACCACUCCAACUAUCAUGGAACUACAACUAUGGGCCAGCCGGAAGGAGCAACAACUUUGAUGGAUUGAACAAUCCUGACAUUGUAGCAAGGGAUGCUGUUGUGUCAUUUAAGACAGCCUUAUGGUUUUGGAUGAACAGAGUUCGUCCUGUUGUAAGCCAAGGUUUUGGAGCAACAAUUCGAGCCAUUAAUAGUAUAGAAUGCAAUGGUGGAAACGCAGGUGCUGUUCAGGCUCGUGUUAGAUAUUAUAGAGAUUAUUGCAGUCAACUCGGCGUUUCUACUGAGAAUAACCUCACUUGCUAGGUUUUUAAAUAACCUGAGUUGUUAUGCCAAGUUAUGGAUAAUCAUAUGAAAAUAAGAUGUACUGCUAUGAAACAAGUUGAAGAGAAAUAAAGUUUAUAAUUAUCGUUAUGUCUCUUAUAGUUUUUCUUUUGAUGUCCCUAUUUUAUAAAUGAAAAAUUCAAAAAAAAUAUUUUUUAUAUAUUUUUUCUUGAAAAAAUUCAAAAUUGUUUCAGGUGGAAGGGGAAAACAAUCUCAGAGGUUUGCAAAGGCCAUAUCAACAAAAAUAUAUUAAGCUUCUAUUAUUAAUGGCCUCCCACUUUUUAAACCAUCUUUUUUUCUGAAAUAUGAUAGUCUAUCAAUUUUGUUAUCAGCACAGACUAUAAAAUAGGAGUGGCUUUGAAGAACAACUGCUGGAUUAAGAUUAGCAAUGAGAGCAAUAUUCACUUCUAAAUAGGCAAGUGGCUGGCUGGUGGGCUGUUAAAAGAUAUUUAUCCACACCUUUUCUCCUUCAUCACAACACCUUCUCCCUGCUUGUUAGAUAUAGGGGACAAUGCUAAAACUUAGCGGCAAUGAAGACUUCACUGAAAAGAUGCUUGCGGACAUUAGAAGAGGAGCAAUUAAAUGACAUGAAUCGACUGUUAGCAGGGGUAACAUUGCAGUCAAGCAGAGGUGAUAAAAAAAUAUGGGCAGGAGGAGACACAAGCGGGCUAUAUAUCAAGUAUGACAAUGAUUUAAUUGAUUACAUUCUAUUUCUAGGAAACUUCAUAUUCACUUCCCUUUUGUGGAAAGGAUCUGCCCCGCCAAAGGUAGAAAUGUUCAUAUGGAUAUUGCUCCGAAGCAGAGUAUAUACAAGAGCCUUUCUAGCACACCGCCAUUUACUACAUCCCAGUCAAGCUAUAUAUCCCUUUUGUGAACAUGAAAGAGAGCAUGCUCCUCAUCUUUUCCUUCAUUGCUACCACAUGUGGAGAUUAUGGAAAUGAUUUUUGAGAUGGUUUGAUAGCUUUAAGUGUAUGUUAAAUACAAUAGAUCAAGUCAUCUGGCAAUGGAGUGACAUGGUCAAAGGUAAGUUCCAACUCAUACUCCAUCGUCUUGCACUAUAGUUAAAUGUCUGGAAUAAUAAUUUUUCGUAUACAAAGAAUGGUUUGAUUAAAGAUCCUUAAGGUAUUUUGACAUGGUCUAAUAAGUUAUGAGUUCUUGUCUGGAGGAGCUUGUUAGCAGCAUCUCCUUUCUCCUUGUUUUCCCGUUAGCUACCGGUUCUUAAGUUUCUUUAGUUAAGUCAUUCAUCAUACGUAAUUUAAGCUCUUAAUGAGAGGAAAAUGUAGGGUUGGAAAAAAGUUAGGUGGGAAGUGAUAAUCAGUACAUACCAAGCCAAAUAAGAUUGUCUGAUCUAGAAAUAGAUACAGAGGACUCAAUAGGAUUGUGUCUGAUGUAGUGAUAAAGUUUCUACCUUUUAUGGUAUAUAACUCUCUGACCACUUCAACAACAUGCCACGUAAAGACAUUAAUGUCAUUAUCCUAGAUAUUUUUGCUAAACUUUAUAGACUAAAUAAUAAUCAACUCCUAGAUAUUUUACAGUAAAAUUACAGACCUCGUCCACUUUGUGCCUCUAUAAAUAGCUUAACCUCGACCUUAUCUCCACACAUCACAAGAAAUUCCCUUCUCUCUUUUCCUAUCAAUAUCGAAACUCCCUUCAGGAGUAGCGAAAAUGAGAAGCAAUAUUCUACUUACCAUUAUCUUAGCCAUAGUUCUUGCAGGAGCCCUUCCCAAGAAUGUGGUAGAGGCUCAGAAUUGUGGCUGUGCUGCAAACCUUUGUUGCAGUCAAUAUGGCUACUGUGGCACUGGCAAUGCCUAUUGUGGUCAGGGAUGUAAACAAGGGCCCUGUGCUUCAUCACCUACGCCUACUACCCCUAGUGGGAGUGGUUCUGUUGCUGAUAUUGUUACGCCUGCUUUCUUCAAUGGUAUAAUCA